RNAcentral lists this ribosomal RNA (440 nucleotides) under uncultured bacterium. RNAcentral describes it as "partial 16S ribosomal RNA". It matches the Rfam family "Bacterial small subunit ribosomal RNA", at positions 338 to 795 of the family's 1533-position model. The record is from RNAcentral.
CCUACGGGAGGCAGCAGUGGGGAAUAUUGCACAAUGGGGGAAACCCUGAUGCAGCGACGCCGCGUGAGUGAGUACGUCUUUCUGUAUGUAAAGCUCUAUCAGCAGGGAAGAAAAUGACGGUACCUGCCUACUGAGCCCCGGCUAACUACGUGCCAGCAGCCGCGGUCCUACGGAGGGGGCAAGCGUUAUCCGGAUUUACUGGGUGUAAAGGGAGCGUAGACGGUUAAGUAAGUCAGAAGUGAAAACCCAGGGCUCAAACUUGGGACUGCCUUUGAAACUGAGUAGCUAGAGUGCAGGAGAGGUAAGCGGAAUGCCUAGUGUAGCGGUGAAAUGCGUAGAUAUUAGGAGGAACACCAGUGGCGAAGGCGGCUUACUGGACUGUAACUGACGUUGAGGCUCGAAAGCGUGGGGAGCAAACAGGAUUAGAUACCCUAGUAGUC